AGAGUCGGCCAGGCAAUCGCUGUUGGCACUAGAUCAAUAGAGGAAAGUCCGGGCUCCAUAGGGCGAGGUGCCAGAUAACGUCUGGGCGGCGUGAGCCGAUGGAAAGUACCACAGAAAAUAUACCGCCUGUUUCGGCAGGUAAGGGUGAAAUGGUGCGGUAAGAGCGCACCGCGCUGUUAGUAAUAACAGUGGCAGGGUAAACCCCACCGGGAGCAAGACCAAAUAGGGAAACAAUGGUGUGGCCCGCACUGUUUCCGGGUAGGUCGCUUGAGGUGCAUGGUGACAUGCAUCCCAGAUGAAUGAUUGUCCGAGACAGAACCCGGCUUAUCGGCCGACUCUUUUU
RNAcentral lists this RNase P RNA (343 nucleotides) under Pseudomonadota bacterium. RNAcentral describes it as "Proteobacteria bacterium RNase P RNA component class A". It matches the Rfam family "Bacterial RNase P class A". From Rfam's summary of the family: Ribonuclease P (RNase P) is a ubiquitous endoribonuclease, found in archaea, bacteria and eukarya as well as chloroplasts and mitochondria. Its best characterised activity is the generation of mature 5'-ends of tRNAs by cleaving the 5'-leader elements of precursor-tRNAs. Cellular RNase Ps are ribonucleoproteins. Lineage: Bacteria; Pseudomonadati; Pseudomonadota. The record is from RNAcentral.